ACAGAACUUGAGAGCUUGCGGCCAAGGGAAGUCGUUCAUCGGUGGACCGACAGCGCCCCGGGCGGCAGAAAGAAGGCGGCGGCGGCGGAGACCCGGGGAAGUUGCCGGAUUUUUAAAAAGGCACCUGCUGGUUGGACCCAGACUGACACUCUUGCCUGAGGGCACAGACCAGGGAGCAGCAAUCAAUACUGGACACCAGGCAGCUUCCACGCUUGACAGUGUUGCCAGACCCUCGCGUGGGCAGGAGGGCACAGCUCUCUAGGAGGCAACAUUAUCCACUGGAGCAUCUAGAAGCACAAGUACUUCCAUGAUGGUCAGAGGCAGAAGAGGAUGCGGAGCAGGGUAGAAGACUCUCAUGACUACCUGCACGCCACCAUCUUCCCCGGCCUGGCGCAAUUGCCUUCAGGAUAUGUACAGCAUGACCCACAGGGAUUUCACUUCAUGGAAUGCAAAACCAACCUGCAUGAGCUUUGUUUGAAAACAAAACAAAACAAAACGAAAACAAAACAAAACAAAACAGAGAAAUCCUAUCUAUAAAAUUACUCUUAAUGGAAAUUCUGCCUGUAUAAAAUUAAAGUGGCAGAUGACUUUGUGCUGGGCACCAAGUGGCAUUGUUACAGAUGCCGGGGUACACACACGGAGACAGCUCCAGGCAAGGUGCAUUGUUAGGCAAGCUUCCUGUGAGGCAAAGCUAGCCACAGAUGGAAGCCUGCACCCAACCCUACUGCCCAGAGGAACCCCAGGACCCUCAGCCAUCCCUUCCUGGAAUUGCUCAACAUAGAGGAUGCAGGUAAUGAGG
Molecule: long non-coding RNA, 799 nt
Filed under: Homo sapiens (human)
Lineage: Eukaryota; Metazoa; Chordata; Mammalia; Primates; Hominidae
Description: HSALNT0360584
Source: RNAcentral